UUAGACCAUAGUUUAAAAAAAACUAACACUUUGGGAGUGUUAAAUGCUUGGAUAAGUUGGUCUAAUC
Mya arenaria is the source of this 67-nucleotide non-coding RNA. The record is from the annotation of a RefSeq genome assembly. Lineage: Eukaryota; Metazoa; Mollusca; Bivalvia; Myida; Myidae.